UAUCGAUAUCGCCAUUACCCAUCCCUGGCAGCAUAGCGGCGCUUUUGUUUUGUUUUGUUAAUUCUUUCGGAUAAAAUGUCCGUUGUGGCGCAAGACGAAAAUCGAUGGAAAACUGCACAGGCAUAUGUUCUGCAAAAGAAGAAACCGAAUAAGAAAAGGAAAACAUAAAUCAGCAGCCAGAUGAACCAGGCAGCCAGUGGCAGGAAUGAGGAUGUCCCCCGACAGAUGAGUCAUUGGCAGGCGGACGGAGAGAGAGAACGUAUAACAGCUGCCACCGAAAAAAUCGGAGGAGGAAAGCGCAUAAAUAAGGAGAGACAUAUACAGCUGUGGGAAGGAAACGUCAUAGCUGGCCGUCGACGGCAGCAGGAAACUGUCGCACAUUAACACGCUGGCAAGGACAAUGGCAAUGGCGACGACGCCAUUAGUGUUUGACAAGGACAUCUCACACAGGCACGGCAGACACACACACACACACGCGCCCAAGCCAUACACAAAGACACCACAAUAUGAAGAACAGCCAGACCUUCCUUCCACACAGAACACAGGACAGAACAGAACCGAACGGAACGGAACACCGGCCCCCCCACCCGUUCCAUGGUGGUGUGGUCAAGUUGAAGGAUAUACUGCUUGUGCCGGGAUGGAGCAAGAGUAGGAGCAGGAGCGGGGGGUGGCAAAAUGGACGCAUGCCUUGGGACGCCUGAAAGCAUAAAUCAGCCAUGGGGUGGCAGCUCCGCAGCUCUUUAGCUCUUCAGUUUGUGGCUGCGCACUUCUGACCAAUAAUUAGUUUGGGCAAUUGGAUUCGUUAUUUGAAUUAAGUUUUCCUUGCAGAUGACGACUGGCUAAUGUAUGAGCUGUUGACAACGCUAAG
Molecule: long non-coding RNA, 868 nt
Organism: Drosophila pseudoobscura
Lineage: Eukaryota; Metazoa; Arthropoda; Insecta; Diptera; Drosophilidae
Exons: 3
Source: RefSeq, a predicted model, not a curated record